UACGUAGGGGGCAAGCGUUGUCCGGAUUUAUUGGGCGUAAAGAGCGUGUAGGCGGCUAGAUAGGUCCGUUGUGAAAACUCGAGGCUCAACCUCGAGACGUCGAUGGAAACCAUCUGGCUAGAGUCCGGAAGAGGAGAGUGGAAUUCCUGGUGUAGCGGUGAAAUGCGCAGAUAUCAGGAAGAACACCAAUGGCGAAAGCAGCUCUCUGGGACGGUACUGACGCUGAGACGCGAAAGCGUGGGGAGCGAACAGG
Molecule: ribosomal RNA, 253 nt
Filed under: uncultured bacterium
Lineage: Bacteria
Description: partial 16S ribosomal RNA
Rfam family: Bacterial small subunit ribosomal RNA
Source: RNAcentral